Molecule: ribosomal RNA, 468 nt
Filed under: uncultured bacterium
Lineage: Bacteria
Description: partial 16S ribosomal RNA
Rfam family: Bacterial small subunit ribosomal RNA
Source: RNAcentral
GACGAACGCUGGCGGCGUGCUUAACACAUGCAAGUCGAACGGAAAGGCCCUGCUUUUGUGGGGUGCUCGAGUGGCGAACGGGUGAGUAACACGUGAGUAACCUGCCCUUGACUUUGGGAUAACUUCAGGAAACUGGGGCUAAUACCGGAUAGGAGCUCCUGCUGCAUGGUGGGGGUUGGAAAGUUUCGGCGGUUGGGGAUGGACUCGCGGCUUAUCAGCUUGUUGGUGGGGUAGUGGCUUACCAAGGCUUUGACGGGUAGCCGGCCUGAGAGGGUGACCGGCCACAUUGGGACUGAGAUACGGCCCAGACUCCUACGGGAGGCAGCAGUGGGGAAUAUUGCAAAAUGGGCGGAAGCCUGAUGCAGCAACGCAGCGUGCGGGAUGACGGCCUUCGGGUUGUAAACCGCUUUCGCCUGUGACGAAGCGUGAGUGACGGUAAUGGGUAAAGAAGCACCGGCUAACUACGUG